CAGUGGCACACUGGGGCAGGACUUCAAACGCCAGAUAGAAAAACUGGGGUUAAUUGUUGCAACAGCCGGGGAAGCUGACAAUCAUUUUAUUGCAGGAUACUGACUACCAGGAAAAACUUUGACCUUGUGGACCUGGCAGAUGAAGACUGUUGCUGUCCUCAUACCUCUGUCUCCAAUGCUGUGGAGACCCCCGCAGCCUGGGAUGGCUAUCUGAUUUCUACUUGGCUGACAGACACAUUCAAGCACCAGCUGCUGACUACAACCUACUGCAAACAGUUGUGAACUCUGGACUUGUUGAAAGCUGAUAUGGACCAAUUCAGCCAAUAUGAUUGUUCCCUGUCUCUACAGCUGUGUCAAAUGACCAUAUGCUUCUGAUGAAUGCCCCCUUUUCCAGCCUUUGACUGGUCUUUUAGCCUUCAUGGUCCUUGACAACAACACUCCAAUAUCAGCUGGAAGUAAUUACAGAAGAGAAUAUGUCAUCCUGUGUCCCCUGCCCUUAAUAGGCUGAAAUGCUGAGUCAAAGGGAAACUCCCUAUACUCUAGGAAUGACCCCAUUUAAGAUCACGUAUGUCAGGCCACAAUCCAUUCUGCCUAACCUCAGGGCAGAACUACUAGCUGAAUUUGAUGGCCAAGGAUUUCUUUCCUCCCUACAAGUUCUGUCUUAGGUACAGAAACAACUUUGCCCUCAAUUGUAUGCAGUCUAUGAGAAGGCACCACCUCAUGUGUCCCACAGUUCUGGCUAGGGGACCUGGACCUGAUGAUCAUCAAGAGGCACAGGAAAGAAACCUUGGAGCCUGGUUUGACCAACUCUCAAAUUGGAUUUGGUCCCCACUUGGAUUCACCAUUCCCACAUGUGAAGCCUAUGGUCCCACAUGCUGAUCCUGAGGACUACACUCCAGAGGAAGCCAGCUCUGGACUUUGGAGGUCCAAUGUACACCCACAGGACCCUCUAAAACUGAGAGUCCAGAAAGUCACCCACCUAGCUUAAUGAUGGGCUUGUCCCUAUGCUUCCUUAGCACAUGCCUGCCAGGGCUUUCCAGUCCGGUCACCAUGGGGCACAACAACUCCCACCUACCCUUUAAUUUCACAUGGAAAAUCAUCAAUGCUGGCUCAGGAAAGUUCUUGAUCCACACUUCACAUGCAGCCCCUUUAGGGACCUGGUUUCUUGAUCUAUAGCUUGAUUUGUGAGUGUUUUAUGGUUGGAUUAAGGUAUCUGGUACUAAAUUGCAAGAAGUCACCCAUUUUUAUGUUUGCCCUGGACAUGAUAGAGAUAGGGCCCAGAUAGAAACGUAUGGGGAAAAUAGCGGCUAUUUCUAUACUUCAUGGGUCACACCUGAUCAAAGGCCCCCCAAAAUGGGAACUUUACAAGCCUAUAAACUUAGAAAAAAAGCAUCUCAAGGAUAUGAGAUGAUGUACUACUCAAGGGGAGAAUGAGAGGGCUGAGGGGUCAGACCAGAGCUAUGACAGGUUUGUAGUAGCCCUGCCAGGGACCAGGCCUUAGUUUCACUUUACCGGGACUGUCUGGAACUGAGCAAGUGGUUCUAGGGAAGACCACAACUCAGGGGCAGCCAAUCAGCAGGUGCCCCACAGCCUUCUGCUGACUCAACAGGUACCCCAAAGCCCCUUCUGCUGGCUCAGCAGAUGCCCCCGUCAACAAGCCUCUAACCACUACAGCCUCCAAUCAUUCAGCUUCCAGACUAAUCUUUCCUUCACCAACCAGCACCAGAUUAAUCCCUCCUCCAUGGGAUUCCCCUCACUCUUAUUACAAGGAGCUUGAAACCUCCCUUUGGGGUUGCAAUUUGCCACCCCAACCAGUGGGGAACAAUAAAUGCUCUUGCUAAAUUGUG
Molecule: long non-coding RNA, 1847 nt
Organism: Peromyscus californicus insignis
Lineage: Eukaryota; Metazoa; Chordata; Mammalia; Rodentia; Cricetidae
Exons: 3
Source: RefSeq, a predicted model, not a curated record